Molecule: transfer RNA, 72 nt
Filed under: Salmo salar (Atlantic salmon)
Lineage: Eukaryota; Metazoa; Chordata; Actinopteri; Salmoniformes; Salmonidae
Rfam family: tRNA
About the family: Transfer RNA (tRNA) molecules are approximately 80 nucleotides in length.
Source: Rfam by way of RNAcentral
CUCCCUGUGGUUCAGUUGGUAGAGCAUGGUGUUUGCAACGCCAGGGUUGUGGGUUUGAUUCCCACGGGGGGC